This 479-nucleotide ribosomal RNA is filed under the name uncultured Desulfovibrio sp. Its description in RNAcentral is "bacterial SSU rRNA". It matches the Rfam family "Bacterial small subunit ribosomal RNA", at positions 121 to 576 of the family's 1533-position model. The record is from RNAcentral. Lineage: Bacteria; Pseudomonadati; Thermodesulfobacteriota; Desulfovibrionia; Desulfovibrionales; Desulfovibrionaceae.
GAAACCUGCCUUCGAGUGGGGGAUAACAUCCCUAACGGGGUGCUAAUACCGCAUGAAACUGCGGGAUCGCAUGGUUCUGCAGUCAAAGGUGGCCUCUGUUUACAAGCUACCGCUCAAAGAUGGUCCUGCGUCCCAUUAGCUAGUUGGCGGGGUAAUGGCCCACCAAGGCAUCGAUGGGUAGCCGAUCUGAGAGGAUGACCGGCCACACUGGGACUGAGAUACGGCCCAGACUCCUACGGGAGGCAGCAGUCGAGAGGCUUCGGCAAUGGGGGAAACCCUGACCGAGCGACGCCGCGUGGAGGAUGAAGGCCCUUGGGUUGUAAACUCCUGUCAUGUGGGAAGAACCCUUACGGCUCGAAUAGGGCCGUGAGCUGACGGUACCACAAGAGGAAGCUCCGGCUAACUCCGUGCCAGCAGCCGCGGUAAUACGGGGGGAGCAAACGUUGUUCGGAAUCACUGGGCGUAAAGGGCGUGUAGGC